GCCCUUGGAAAUUAUUUGUAUCCAUUCACUUACUCCAUAUUUUUGCAUCAUAGGCUUAAUUUAUAAUUGAUUAAAUAUAUUUUUGUUUUGCCAUCAAUUGACACACAGUACCCCAUAAUGACAAAGUGAAAACACAUGUAGAAAUUUGUGCAAUUUAUUGAAAAAUUAAAGCUGAAAUCUCAAAUACAUUAUUAUUCAGACUGUUUGCUAUGACAUUUGAUCAAAUCUAGACCAUAAAAGAAAUUCAAGAAUCAAUAACUUGGAUCAAAUCACCAUCAGAAUAGGGAAAAUAACUAAGGAUAUUUGGUGGGACACCUGACUGCAGUGUUGGUGUAUAUUACAUUACAACCAGAGACGAGACUGCAACAUUUAAAUGAAGUAUUGCUAUAAAAAAGUGGGUGUCUCAUAAGAAUUAGCAUUGCAAAGGUGCCAGAUAAACGGUAUUUGUAAGUAUUAAUGUGUUUGCACUGUGUAUGUUGUAACACACAAAUUGUCAGUUAGCAGUUAACUUGGAUGGCGAGCUAAUACUUCUGACCGGAUUGUAAAUCUAACACUUCCCUUAAAAAGAAAAACACCAAGUAUUUGUCUCCAACUCACUUUAAUAGCAGGUAGUCAAUGCCGAACAAAAUAUUUUUUCAAGUGGGAUAAAACAGCAUUUGGUGAAAUAAUAUCAAAUAAAUAAAUUUAACAAAGCACCAUAAUAUUGAUCAAAGGCAUGAAUGUGCACUGCGAAUAUGGGAAGCUACAUUCAAUAAAAACCUUUCAUUUUCCAGCACAUGCACCAAAGUAAUAGAAAAAUUCUAAACUGAAUAUGUAAAAAUAAGAUCCAUAAACAGAAACUAAAGGCGCAAAAGCCAUAAAAUCAAAUUUUCACAUUAAAGCAGUAGAAGCAAGAAACUGCCACAAAGGAUGACCCUUUUCCCUUUUAAAAACACACUGGGACACUUCAGCCUCAAUGGGCAGGGUCACACUGCCUUUUCAAACAUCUUCAAGAACACUAGUAAUCAAAAUCACACAAGCGACCAUUACAAAAGAUGAUGGACAAAGACGGACAUUCAAUUGGAAACUAUGGUGAGCACAUAUUCUAUCAUACCUUCAGAACCCAAAUUGUAUAUUGGUGCUAAAAACUCAACUAGGAAAACUAAAAUACCACCUGGAAGGGAAGGUGCAUGAAGAGUGUUUAAACAGUAGCCUGGACACAUUUGUGUUAGAGGACUACUGGUAGUGUUGCCUUGCUUCACGUCACAACCAGACAACAGUAUUGAGAAGGGUACGACCUGGACAGGUGUGGGAGGUGGCUACAGUCUGUUCUGAGUCAUCAUCUACAGUAGGUUUCAGUGUAUCCAGUGGCAGCAGCCUCACAGCUCUCCCUGGAGGGCGCAUGCAAAAACAACUAAACAAAAAUACAAUCUCUUGUAAGUUUAGACAUAACAUGAUAAAAUCAACAUAUAAAAGGGUUUAAGAGAGAGUUGGACAGUGAGUAGAGAUUUGGAGUUGGGGGGUCAUAUCUCCCCUCAGUGCGACGACGGAUCAGGUGGGGGGGGGGCAAUUUUCACAUUCCGGCAGGCAGGGCUUGAAGGGGACAAAAAGGUCUCUUUACUUCUUCCAAAUGGUGUAGAAAACCCACCUGGUAGAGUUGCUGGUAAAGGAAAAUGCUAUGCCAACAACAAGCAACCACACAUAAGGUGUGUGGUUGCUUGUUGCUUUAUAAAGCUUGCAGACAAGAAAUGAAAUAAGAAUUAAUCUCAUAUUAACAUAAAAUACUCAAGCUAAAACAAAAAAUGUUAAUUAUAUAGUGAAUUUGAAAUACAAAUAUAUAGCAAUGGAU
Long non-coding RNA from Esox lucius (northern pike), 1828 nucleotides. The record is from Ensembl. NCBI's taxonomy places the organism in Eukaryota, Metazoa, Chordata, Actinopteri, Esociformes, Esocidae.